Molecule: ribosomal RNA, 413 nt
Filed under: uncultured microorganism
Description: bacterial SSU rRNA
Rfam family: Archaeal small subunit ribosomal RNA
Source: RNAcentral
GUGCACCAGUCGCGAACCUCCGCAAUACACGAAAGUGUGACGGGGCCAUCCGAGUGCCGUCCGCUGAGGACGGCUUUCCCCAGUGUACAUAGCUGGGGAAGUAAGGAGAGGGCAAGCCUGGUGUCAGCCGCCGCGGUAAUACCAGCUCUCCGAGUGGUGGGGACGGCUUAUUGGGCCUAAAGCAUCCGUAGCCGGCUGGGCAAGUCCUCCGUUAAAUCCAACGAUUCAAUCGUUGGGCUGCGGGGGAGUACUGUCCAGCUUGGGGGCGGGGAGAGGCCGACGGUAUUCCCGGGGUAGGGGUGAAAUCCUAUAAUCCCGGGAGGACCACCAGUGGCGAAGGCUGUCGGCUAGAACGCGCCCGACGGUGAGGGAUGAAAGCUGGGGGAGCGAACCGGAUUAGAUACCCGGGUAGU